Molecule: ribosomal RNA, 133 nt
Filed under: uncultured bacterium
Lineage: Bacteria
Description: partial 16S ribosomal RNA
Source: RNAcentral
CAGUAACGUCAAGACCCAAGGUUAUUAACCUUGGGCUUUUCUUCCUGGUUGAAAGGGCUUUACAACCCGCGAGCCUUCUUCACCCACGCGGCAUUGCUGGAUCAGGCUUUCGCCCAUUGUCCAAUACUCCCCA